Molecule: ribosomal RNA, 443 nt
Filed under: uncultured bacterium
Lineage: Bacteria
Description: SSU rRNA
Rfam family: Bacterial small subunit ribosomal RNA
Source: RNAcentral
AGAGCGAACGCUGGCGGCAGGCUUAACACAUGCAAGUCGAACGGAUCCUUCGGGAUUAGUGGCGGACGGGUGAGUAACACGUGGGAACGUGCCUUUUGGUUCGGAACAACUCAGGGAAACUUGAGCUAAUACCGGACGUGCCCUUCGGGGGAAAGAUUUAUCGCCAUUAGAGCGGCCCGCGUCUGAUUAGCUAGUUGGUGAGGUAAAGGCCCACCAAGGCUACGAUCAGUAGCUGGUCUGAGAGGAUGACCAGCCACAUUGGGACUGAGACACGGCCCAAACUCCUACGGGAGGCAGCAGUGGGGAAUCUUGCGCAAUGGGCGAAAGCCUGACGCAGCCAUGCCGCGUGAAUGAUGAAGGUCUUAGGAUUGUAAAAUUCUUUCACCGGGGACAUAAUGACGGUACCGGAGAAGAAGCCCGGCUAACUUCGCGCCAGCAGCCGC